Molecule: ribosomal RNA, 5088 nt
Filed under: Triticum aestivum (bread wheat)
Lineage: Eukaryota; Viridiplantae; Streptophyta; Magnoliopsida; Poales; Poaceae
Description: partial small subunit ribosomal RNA
Source: RNAcentral
AUGCAGUCCUUCCUGAAAGCCUCCAAUGCAGGAAGACGUGCAUCCCAGGACGAGGUGGUUCGAGCAUGGGUGAGGCAGCUCCGUGAAUUGGCCUUCGACGUGGAGGACUGCGUCGAGUUCGUGAUCCAGCUCGACAAGGCAUCACCCUGCGACUGGGUGUGGCGUCUGGCCUCGACAAUCCCUUUUGUGGCGGGGCGGCCGCUGCCCCUGGAUGUGGCGGUGGCGGAUAUAAAGCGGCUCAAGGUGAGGGUGGAGGACCUAAGCCAGAGGAACACACGCUACAACCUCUUUAGUAGCAGCGGCGGCGAUGGCGGUGGCAACGACUCCUCAGAUCAGCAGCAGCUACUGCACGUUGCGGGUCGUGCUACUAGUAGUACACCGGCGACAAUGGAGGUAUUCCACUUCCUAAGGGAGGCUUGGGAGUCCAUGGGAAAGCUGAUCCACACCAACGGCGAGCUCAAAAGGUUGAUCGACUGUGAAGAUAGUGAGCUCAAAGUGAUCUCGCUAUGGCGAAGUCAGCAGGCUGAUGUUGUUGGUGAACUUGGGUGGGUGAGUAUUGCGAAGAAGGCGUAUGAUGACCCAGAAAUCUGCCAAGAGUUCAAGAAUCGCGCCUGGUUAAAGCUGAGUACGCGCCAUCCUUUUAACCCAAUUGAGUUUCUCAACAAGUUGCUCAGUCAAUUCACUAAAUCUCACCCUGACCACCAGCACCAUGGCAAUAUAUCUGAGCUCAUGGUGCUAGUCAGCAAGCAUAGGUAUCUUGUUGUUCUAGAGACAGAGUUAUCUAGUGUCGCAGACUGGGAUGCCAUCAGAAUGUGCCUUCUGGACGGCAAAAACGGCAGCCGGAUCAUCAUCUCCACCAAGCAUUUGGGAAUUGCCCUUGUCUGCACGGGGGACCCGUACCAAGUAUCGGAGCUUAAACGCUUCUCCCACGAUCGGUCUCUUUGUGCCAUUAUACCCAAGGGUUGUCGGCAUCGCAUUGGCAUGGGUGAAUUAUUUUGGCAAUUACGGCGACCACACGGUGUUAUCUCCUUGUUCUGGCGGACUAUUGAAGAGUACGAUCAAUUCAUGAUUAGACAAUUAUCCUACGUCAUCCGCAGGAAUAGGAUAUUCGACGGAGUGAAAUUUGACUUCAUUCUCCACCCUGGUGACAUUGAAGAAGCUGGCCUGUUCAAACUGGUUGACUUUGCCCUAGUCAUACUUCUGCAAUCGUACCCAGAAGACGAACGAGAAGAAGAACGUAAAAAGCUCAUGGAGAUGAAUAAUGACCUGCAUAUAUAUGAAGUGUGCCGUAAGUUUCUGACUGAACACGAUUGCCUCAUCUUCAUCACGAACCUGGAGUCCACCACAGACUGGAACUUGAUUAAGCAGCAUCUCUUAUGUGAGUAUACUAGAGGUUACAUCAUUGUUAUUACAAGUAAACAAAGUGUGGCCACACACUGUGUAGAUCACAAACAACAUCGGGUGCUCAACAUGGAAGAACUGACGAAGGGUUGUGAGCAUCUAAUCGGCAUGAGUGAAUUAUUUUGGCAAUUUAAACAACAUGAUGGUGUUGUAUCCUUGUUCUGGCGGACUGAUCAAGAGAGAUCACACUUAAUGGAUAAGCUAUACUCCUGCCAGUAUAGGGUAUUCGACGGAGUGAAAUAUGGGCUGUUCAAACUAGUUGACUUAGCUUUGUUCAUACUUGCACAGUCGUACCCAGAAGAUGAACAAGAAAAAGAAUGUAAAAAGCUGAGGGGGAUGAAUAAUGACCAGGAUAUAAUUGAAAGGGGUCAUAAGUUUCUGACUGAACACAAGUGCCUCAUCUUUAUCACGAACCUAGAGUCCACCACGGCCUGGAACUUGAUUAAACAAGAUCUAUUAUUUGAGUCUACUAGAGGUUACAUUGUUGUUAUUACAGGUGACCAAAGUGUGGCCACACAUUGUGUAGAUCACAAACAAGAUCGGGUCCUCGAUGUUGAAGAUCUAAUGAAGGGUUGUGGGCAUCACAUUGGGAUGAGUGCAUUAUUUUGGCAAUUAAGAGGACAGCAUCGUGUCAUCUCAUUGUUCUGGCGGACCAAUGAAGAGAUAUUAGAAUUAUUGGUUAGACUGAACUCCUAUAAGGCCCGCAAGUAUAGGGUAUUUGACGGAGUGAAAUUUGAAUACCAUUGCAAUUUUGUUGGUGAUGGAGAUGGGUUGUUCAAGCUGGUUGACUUGGCUCUAGUCAUACUUAUUCAAUCGUACCCAGCAAAUGAACUAGAAAAAAAAGGGGAAAAGCUCAGGAUGAUGAAUAGUGACCUGGAAAUAAUUGAAAUGAGUCGCAAGUUCCUGACUGAGCACAAGUGCCUCAUCUUUAUCACAAACUUGCAGUCCACCACGGACUGGAACUUGAUUAAACACCACCUCGUAUGCGAGUCUACUAGAGGUUGCAUUGUUGUUAUUACAUGUGACCAAAGUGUGGCCACACACUGUGUAGAUCACGAACGAGAUCGGGUGCUCAAUAUGGAAGAUCUGAUGAAGUCUCAUUCGCCGGAGGAGAGCGGACUUGCAGAUGGAGAAGGCGACAUAAAGGAAGAGGAUAAAUCUGAACCUUAUGCCAUUGGUGGGUAUGAAGGUGGAGAUGCAGUCUUUGAUGAACUCCGUGCUGGUAAGACGUUGUCUGUAUGGGGAAUUGCUGGUCUUGGGAAAUCAUUUCUUGUCAGACACUAUUACAACAGGCUAAUAUCUAAGCAAGUGUACAGAAUGUAUGGCUGGGUGGAUGUGCCCCAUCCAUUCAAUUUGACAGACUUGUGUCAGAGAUUGCUUCUGGAUCUUUUAUCGGAUGAUGGUGAUGCCAAGGAAGCUGUAGCAAUUGGUAUGUUUGGAGGCCAAGACCCUAUUCAAGCGUGUAUGAUAGUUCUACUUGAAUACAAAUGCCUCCUUGUUUUCAAUGGUCUACGGUCCACGCAUGAUUGGGACUUGAUAAACAAAACCUUGUUAUCCCGGCCUAUUAGUGGGACAAAUAUUGUCAUUACAGGUGAAGAAAGAAUCGCCACACAUUGUUCUGAAAACUAUUAUAUUCACAACGUCAAGGGUCUACAACCUGAUGCAGCCCUUGAUCUCUUCACAAAGAUAAGUUUGUGUGGCAAGCUACGAUCCACCGAGGCAACGGAGAAUACAAAAAUUAUCCUCUCCAAGUGUGGUGGGCUUCCAGAAGUAAUAGUUGCUAUAGGAAACCAAAUCCGCCACCUCAUCGUGACACGACGGACAGAUUCGUUGUUGCAGAUCCUGAGGCAUAUAAAUGUUGACUUCAUGGGAUACUUACAGUUGCAGCUUCCUAGUUUGAAGGGUCUAUUUUGUUGGAUGCAAUCCUAUUUUGAUGCUUGCUCGGAUGAACUCAAACCAUGCAUCUUCUAUAUGUCAGUCUUCCCUGCAGACGAACACAUUAGAUGGAGGCGGUUGCUCCGGCGGUGGAUUGCAGAAGGUUACUUGCCUGAUGGUGCUGGUGCGGAGGGAGAGAAUCUCGUACUCGAGCUCUUGAAGUUAAGCAUAUCAUACUGGGGGGAUGGGAAGGAGACACUGAAGAUAAAGUUCAAGCUCAAUGGUUUCUUCCGUGAAUACAUCAAGUCACGACCAAUGGAAGAUAACCGUGUGUUUGAACUAGACGGGAGUUGCAGCCCCAGCCCGCGACUCACUGGGCAACACCUCACCAUAAGCAGCAGUUGGGACAGAGAUAAGAUUGUAUUUGAGAGCCUGGACUUGUCACGGUUACGGUCUUUCACCGUGUUCGGGGACUGGAGGUCAUUCCUCAUCUGUGACAAGAUGAAGCUGCUCCGGGUGCUUGAUCUGGAGGGCACUAGUACAGCAGAUAGUACUUCUAGUGUAAGCAAUGGUGAUCUAGAGCUGAUCGCCGAGCUGUUGCCACGCCUCAAGUUCAUGUCCCUACGAGGAUGCAUGCACAUCACUCGUCUCCCGGAUUCAUUGGGUGACAUGAAGCAAUUGGAUACUCUGGAUGCCAAGGACACCUCUAUAGUCGAGCUGCCACCUGCUAUCAUCACCAAGCUACACAAGCUGCAGUACAUUCGUGUAGGCGCCACUGGGUCUAGACUUCUCUUAGUACCAGCCGCACCGGCAGGAACAUUAUCUCCACCAACACCACCAGGAGACGAUGGUCAUGAUGGCACGAGCCCUUUCCUCCGAGCCAAAGCAGCAUUGUCAGGAGUGGUCCAAGGGGCAUCAGCAGGAGCAAGGAAGAUGGCACAUGAUUUCGAAGAAACCUGCAGUAGACUGUGGCACUUGAAGAAUGUGCGCAGACGCCGACGUGUUGCUAAGAAUGGCGGUGGUGUUGAGGUUGUUACCGCUGCUGCAAAGGGGAUUGGGAAGCUGACGGAAUUGCAUACACUAGGUGUCGUGAAUGUUGCAGGUGGGACAGGCGCCCUCCUCUUCCUCAAGGAGCUCAAGAAACUUACCCAAUUGCGCAAGCUCGGGUUGUCCGGCAUCACCUGUGAAAACUGGAAAAAGUUGUGUUGUGCCAUCUCGGGUCACCGCCAUCUCAAGAUCCUGGCGCUGCAACUGCUGCUGCUGGAGGGUGGCAGCUAUGACUUUGCUCGUUUUGAUGACAUCUUCGAGCCACCCAAGACCCUAAUGCGCCUUAAGGUACUGUACACUGGUAAUGCAGUUGCAGGCGCAGCAGGUUGUGCGUGGAUAAGGCCAACCUGGAUUAUACAGCCAAGGAAUUUGAAAAGGUUUGACCAUGCCUUGACGAUAUCAAGUCAAGAGGACGCAGACCUAUUUGCAGAACGAUUUUCAGCAGGUGAAAAUCUUCUUCGUAUCAAACCAAUUGAGAAGUACCUCAAUUUUGCUAGAGGGCUCGCACUCGACACCCUCAGCAUUGAUUGCAGUAGCACCAGCUCAACGGUCACUUUUGAAGGUUUGGAAACAUUCAAAGUCAAAGAGCUCAACAUUCACUGCUGCAGCUCUUGUGGGUUGUCGUGUUUGAGGAUUUUCGGGCUAAAGUGCUUACAAAAUUUGGAGCAAGUAUUGGUAUCGGGUCCAUGCAGCAAUACCUACGAGCAAGACUUGCGCCGGGAACUUAGGGAGCACCCAGACAAACCUGAGCUGAAGCUGUUAUAA